UACGGAGGGUGCAAGCGUUAUCCGGAUUCACGGGGUUUAAAGGGUGCGUAGGCGGACAUGUAAGUCCGUGGUGAAAUCUCUAAGCUUAACUUGGAAACUGCCAUGGAUACUAUAUGUCUUGAAUGUUGUGGAGGUUAGCGGAAUAUGUCAUGUAGCGGUGAAAUGCAUAGAUAUGACAUAGAACACCAAUUGCGAAGGCAGCUGGCUACACAAAUAUUGACGCUGAGGCACGAAAGCGUGGGGAUCAAACAGG
RNAcentral lists this ribosomal RNA (253 nucleotides) under uncultured bacterium. RNAcentral's name for it is "partial 16S ribosomal RNA". It matches the Rfam family "Bacterial small subunit ribosomal RNA", at positions 524 to 776 of the family's 1533-position model. The record is from RNAcentral.